This 4006-nucleotide long non-coding RNA is filed under the name Mus musculus (house mouse). Its description in RNAcentral is "long non-coding RNA chr19:37582845-37586851". The record is from RNAcentral. Lineage: Eukaryota; Metazoa; Chordata; Mammalia; Rodentia; Muridae.
GUUCUUUCUUAGCCUGUAGUCUUAGCAUUUUAUCUCUAAUGUGGCGUGGAUGGAUUCUUUUUUUUUUCUCUCUUUUUUUUUUAUUACAUAUUUUCCUCAAUUACAUUUCCAAUGCUAUCCCAAAAGUCCUCCAUACCCUCCCCACCACUUCCCUACCCACCCAUUCCCAUUUUUUUGGCCCUGGCGUUCCCCUGUACUGGGGCAUAUAAAGUUUGUGUGUCCAAUGGGCCUCUCUUUCCAGUGAUGGCUGACUAGGCCAUCUUUUGAUACAUAUGUGGAUUCUUUUUGGUCAUGCCUGUUGAGGCCUUCUAGUUUCUUCCAUGCCUUGGUAUCCAUAUAUUUUCCUACAUUUGGAAUUCCUUUUGGCAGUAAUUUCCUUUACAGUGUUUUCUGUGCUUUUGGUUUGCUGUUUAGUUCCUUCUUCACCAUGGAUGUUUAGGCUUGCUCUUCUGAUCAUGCCUGAGAGUUCUUGAAAGUUCUGGUCAUACUUAAGUAUUUUGUUUUUCUUUAUUGAUGUCUGAAGUUUUCUCAACCUUAUCUCAAUGCCUGGUGUUCUCUGUCCUGUCACUGUAGUUCGUCUGUCCUGUGGUUCAGUCUCUGUCCUGUCGCUGUAGUCUGUCUGUCACUGUAGUUUGUCUUGUUACUGUAGUCUGUCUGUCCUGUGGUUCAGUCUCUGUGCUAUCGCUGUAGUCUGUCUGCUCUGUGAUCCAGUCUCUGUCCUGUGGUCUGGUGUGUUCAGUGCCAGGUGCUCUCUGUCCUGUCUAGUCUCUUGGUGGCACGUUCCACUAAGUUGUUUGAUUUAUUGAGUUUUUUGUCCCCCGAGUUUGUUUGCUUCUUUCCUGACUUUUGUUUCUUUGUUGAAUUCUUCAUUCAUGUUGCUGAUUUGUCAGGCUCCAGGCUAAUGGUGUCCCUUCAUCUAAUGCUGGCUUUAACCCUUUACUGAGGUCAUUGGUCAUUGUAAAGACUUUCCCAUGAGUUAUUUGGCAUUUCAUCCAUUCAGAUACUUGGAUUCAUUUUUUAAGGAAUUAUGGACUUCUAGAGAACUCAUUCUGUCUUGUUUCAUAACAUCCCUCAUGGAUUUCUGUGCUGUGGUUUGUGUAUUUGUUGAGAUUUUUUUUUUCUCACCACUCUUACUUUGUGGAAGUCUUCUUAGUAGAUAGCCUUCUGGCUUCAUGAUCCCCAGGAAAAGACAUUUUUUUUUUAAACAUUAUAAUCUCUAAAUCACAGUGUAGAGUUUGAAGUGAAAAGCUAACAUAGUAAAAUCCUUAUUAGAAUGUUCAGUUCCAGCUGAGUGUGGUAGCAUGCUUGGACUCUGGGCACUCAGAAGGCCAUGGCAAGAGAAUGGCUGCAAAGUUGGAAGCUACCUAGGGCGACCUAGCAAGAUAGCAAGGCGUUGUUAAAUAACACAAGACAAAACAAAUGAAACCCCUCAAACAAAUGGAUAGAAAACUUUAGAACUUCAUUUCUAAUAGCAAUAAACAUAAGUAUUAAAAACCAUUGAAUUAAUAAUAAAAUGUUAACCUGAAAAAAAAUUAAAAAAGAAAUCAAACAUAUUUAGUUAUAUAAAAAUGUAAAAGAUAUUAAUUCUGAAUACAAAUUUGUGUUUUUAUUUACUUGUUAUUAGAACAUAGCACAUGUUUAUGCUAUUUGGAUCCAUUAAGUAUUAAUGAGAAUAAUUUAUUCCUGAAGUAAAAUAAUUUUAACAUCUAAGUCCUCGUAAGCUCUGUAAGAAAAUAAACCUCAAAGCAUUUUACAUUAUAAAAUACAUUUGGACAAAAUAUAUUAAAUCAGUAGAGUUGAGUGUAAGUAGUUCAGAAGUAGAGGGAUGGACGUCAGCGGUGUGUGUGGGGCUCUCCCAGUACCUUAAGCAAACGAUGCUUGGCUCUGUUUAAAUGAGGUUGUAACACUUUAUUUUAAAAAAUUCUAGCAUUAGCAUUAUGCUUCACGUCAUAUCUUCUAUACUUGUUCAGACUUUUAGUAAAACAUUUUCACUUAAUGUAUCAAGAUUAGAAAAUCAGUAACAUAGCUAUUUUGUAGUUCUCCGUAGCUGGAGCACAAGAACAUUAGAAGACUUCCCAUAGGAGAGACUUACAUUUUUUUCUGCAUUAUGAAUUUAUUUCAGAUGACAUUUAAAAGAGUAAUGGUUUUGUAGCUACUUAAUUCUAAAGAAACAAAUCAAUUUUUUUUUCUGUUGGAAUUUUUUUCUAUUGUUAAAUUUGCUUUCUUGUUGUUGUUGUUUUGGAGUCUUAGAUGCCGAGGAGACGGGGACUCCCAAGUUUUUAACUGGGAGGAUUCUUACUAAGCAGAGAGGCUGUGCUGUAUCUGUGUACUUGUGUUUAGCAAAGUUCAUUUAUUUGUUGCAUGGUGCUGUGGUAGGGGAGUGUGAAUUGUUACAGAAUAACUGAAAAUAACCUGCUCUGGAACACUAGGGAAAGCUUUCUUAAGGACGAAAUGACGGGAGGAGCCGUGAAAGAUGAAUAAAAAUGUCAUAGAGACUGUGUGAGCGAGGACCCGCCCGUCAGGGAGAGCACGUGUAAGAACCUGAAAGUGGACGGCUGAGGGCAGUGAACUGCAUACUCUGCCAGCAGCGCAUGGCUGGCAUGCGGAGAGAGGCAGGCUGUAGGGAAACAGAUGUUUCCCUUACUUAACGACUCUCACUGAGAACCAUAGUUUAGUUUGCGCAGUGCUAAGCCUGUAAAAAUUUCAGUGGUAAAUUAGGAAAACGUCUAAUUGUUCGAACUUUAUUUUAGGUAACUUCCAAAUAGAGUUGCUAUUUUUGAGCUGUAAUGCCAACAACCCUUUCUUCUUGACCUCUAGUAUGAAAUGCCAUUUGUCAUCUACAUUCCAGUUUGGAAAGUUAACAUAAAUCCCAGAGGACAAAGAUGUCUGUCUCAGCAGGGGCAGGGAAGGGAAGGAGGGAGGCGGGAGGGACCAUCACCAUCCUCAUUCUCCUGAUGUUCUUUAGGGUGAUGAAGAAACAUUUGAAAAUUAUUACCGGAAGCAAAGGAAGAAGCAGGCACGCCUGGUUCUGCAGCCGCAGUCGAGUGUGGUGAGUGUGGUGUCCUGUGCCCUGCACGGUGCUUGCACCCGUGGCUGGCUUGAGUCCUGUGAGCAUGGGUCACUGCUCAUCUACAUAUAAAUAUUUAUUAAACACCUACUAUUUCUAGUCAUUGAUUUAGGGGCCAAGUGUACAAUAGUGAGCAAAACCGGGUGAGUCUUUUUUCUCAGGAGUUUACAUUCUGUUAGGAAAGACAGACACUGAGUUAAAAACAGAUAAGCAAGCAAAAUGUCAGAGAAUGAUAAUUUGUUUCUGACUAUAUGGUGAACUGUGCACUUUGAUUCUUUGUCACAUUGAACAAAACAACUAAACACAGUGGAUAGACUGUUUCUUUGUAUUUUAUUUUUAGUUAUGUGUAUGUGGCUGGGGUAGGUCUGUUCCUGUGACUAGGCGGACUAGUCACUGCCGAGGCCAGGAGAGGGCGUUAGAUCCCCUGGAACUGAAAUAACUGCUGGUUGUCUGUCUCUGUACGUUCUGGGAAUUAAGCUCAGGACCUCUGUAAGAGCAGCAAGUACCCUUAACCCCAGAGCCAGUUUUCUAGCCUCGGGAUAGACGUUUUAAAAAAAAGAAUUAGAUUUUUCUUAAAUAGACUGAGGAUCUGGCAGAAAAGUAUAAUUAAUCCACAUUUUGGCGUGGUGACGUUUACAUGACUAAAUGCGUUUGUACCGCAGAACCCCCAUCUGCUGUGAGCCACGUCAAGGCAGAAGCCCAGGUAGCUUCGAUGAGGCACCGAGUGCAGCUUUCACCCUAAAAGCAUCUAUGGGAUAGGAGAGGGAACUGAGUAACACCGGGUCACAGGUCAGGCCUGGGGCACCAAAAGCAGCUGUCCUGGAGGACUCACCUUUCUUGUCAUCUGGGGCUUCAGAGGGCUUUCAGCCCAUUGUUAAGGUGACCAGGAGAUAAAACCAUCUAAACACCUCUCAACAAUUAAUGACGAAUAAACCAGCU